Molecule: ribosomal RNA, 429 nt
Filed under: bacterium
Lineage: Bacteria
Description: partial 16S ribosomal RNA
Rfam family: Bacterial small subunit ribosomal RNA
Source: RNAcentral
UAGGGAAUCUUCCACAAUGGACGCAAGUCUGAUGGAGCAACGCCGCGUGAGUGAAGAAGGUUUUCGGAUCGUAAAGCUCUGUUGUUGGUGACGAAGGAUAGAGGUAGUAACUGGCCUCUAUUUGACGGUAAUCAACCAGAAAGUCACGGCUAACUACGUGCCAGCAGCCGCGGUAAUACGUAGGUGGCACGCGUUGUCCUGCUUUUUUUGGCGUAAAGCGAGCGCAGGCGGAAGAAUAAGUCUGAUGUGAAAGCCCUCGGCUUAACCGAGGAACUGCAUCGGAAACUGUUUGUCUUGAGUGCAGAAGAGGAGAGUGGAACUCCAUGUGUAGCGGUGGAAUGCGUAGAUAUAUGGAAGAACACCAGGGGCGAAGGCGACUCUCUGGUCUGCAACUGACGCUGAGGCUCGAAAGCAUGGGUAGCGAACAGG